AGCUUUUGUGGUGCCUGUUCUCUUUAGAACUAGUGAAUGCAGUGUCCAAAAGGUGUUUAAAAAAAAGCCCUUGGCAGGGUUUUCCUGCCUGAGACCCUACUGUCUGGGGCACAGGGAACUGCAGAAGGAAAAGGC
Molecule: small nucleolar RNA, 135 nt
Organism: Suncus etruscus (white-toothed pygmy shrew)
Lineage: Eukaryota; Metazoa; Chordata; Mammalia; Eulipotyphla; Soricidae
Product: small nucleolar RNA SNORA13
Exons: 1
Source: RefSeq, a predicted model, not a curated record